GGAAGUUUGGCAGAGUGGCUAAAUGCAAGUGACUUAAAAUCUCUCAGUCGGCGAAAUCCGGCUCGCAGGGUUCGAAUCCCUCAGCUUCCG
This 90-nucleotide transfer RNA is filed under the name Reticulomyxa filosa. It matches the Rfam family "tRNA". From Rfam's summary of the family: Transfer RNA (tRNA) molecules are approximately 80 nucleotides in length. Their secondary structure includes four short double-helical elements and three loops (D, anti-codon, and T loops). The record is from Rfam by way of RNAcentral. Lineage: Eukaryota; Foraminifera; Reticulomyxidae.